GACGAACGCUGGCGGCGCGCUUAACACAUGCAAGUCGAACGGAAAGGCCCUGCUUUUGUGGGGUGCUCGAGUGGCGAACGGGUGAGUAACACGUGAGUAACCUGCCCUUGACUUUGGGAUAACUUCAGGAAACUGGGGCUAAUACCGGAUAGGAGCUCCUGCUGCAUGGUGGGGGUUGGAAAGUUUCGGCGGUUGGGGAUGGACUCGCGGCUUAUCAGCUUGUUGGUGGGGUAGUGGCUUACCAAGGCUUUGACGGGUAGCCGGCCUGAGAGGGUGACCGGCCACAUUGGGACUGAGAUACGGCCCAGACUCCUACGGGAGGCAGCAGUGGGGAAUAUUGCACAAUGGGCGGAAGCCUUAUGCAGCAACGCCGCGUGCGGGAUGACGGCCUUCGGGUUUUAAACCGCUUUCGCCUGUGACGAAGCGUGAGUGACGGUAAUGGGUAAAGAAGCACCGGCUAACUACGUG
This 468-nucleotide ribosomal RNA is filed under the name uncultured bacterium. RNAcentral's name for it is "partial 16S ribosomal RNA". It matches the Rfam family "Bacterial small subunit ribosomal RNA", at positions 28 to 507 of the family's 1533-position model. The record is from RNAcentral.